This 69-nucleotide transfer RNA is filed under the name Callosciurus prevostii (Prevost's squirrel). Its description in RNAcentral is "tRNA-Asp". It matches the Rfam family "tRNA". From Rfam's summary of the family: Transfer RNA (tRNA) molecules are approximately 80 nucleotides in length. Their secondary structure includes four short double-helical elements and three loops (D, anti-codon, and T loops). The record is from RNAcentral. Lineage: Eukaryota; Metazoa; Chordata; Mammalia; Rodentia; Sciuridae.
AAGACAUUAGUAAAAUUAUUACAUAACUUUGUCAAAGUUAACUUAUAGGUUAAACCCCUUUAUGUCUUU